Molecule: ribosomal RNA, 475 nt
Filed under: uncultured organism
Description: partial 16S ribosomal RNA
Rfam family: Bacterial small subunit ribosomal RNA
Source: RNAcentral
CACUCCUACGGGAGGCAGCAGUGGGGAAUUUUGGACAAUGGGCGAAAGCCUGAUCCAGCAAUGCCGCGUGAGUGAAGAAGGCCUUCGGGUUGUAAAGCUCUUUUGUCAGGGAAGAAACGGUGAAAGCUAAUAUCUUUUGCUAAUGACGGUACCUGAAGAAUAAGCACCGGCUAACUACGUGCCAGCAGCCGCGGUAAUACGUAGGGUGCAAGCGUUAAUCGGAAUUACUGGGCGUAAAGCGUGCGCAGGCGGUUUUGUAAGUCUGAUGUGAAAUCCCCGGGCUCAACCUGGGAAUUGCAUUGGAGACUGCAAGGCUAGAAUCUGGCAGAGGGGGGUAGAAUUCCACGUGUAGCAGUGAAAUGCGUAGAUAUGUGGAGGAACACCGAUGGCGAAGGCAGCCCCCUGGGUUAAGAUUGACGCUCAUGCACGAAAGCGUGGGGAGCAAACAGGAUUAGAAACCCGUGUAGUCCCAUGA